UUUGCUCAGUUUCACAUCCAUCUACAUGUGUUUACAGACUUCGUCAUGAUCCUUUGUUUUCUACUUCACUGGCCUUUUUGCACGCAUCAAUGCGCGUGCGAAAUGUUUUUUUUUACAUCACAGCGCGUUACAUAUGGUAUGUAGUUAUUUUUUUUCUUUUUACAUUUGUUCAUACAUAAAGACAUUCUUAUAAUUAUAGCGCGCUAUGCGCAACGUACAAUGUUUAAUUUUAAUUUGUACAUUUGUACCUGUCAAAAGACAUUCAUUCAUUUUAAUUUUUUUUGUUAACAAUUUGUAGAAAAUUUUGCACUACUAAAUUUAAAAUAAGAUAUUGUAUGACACAUCCCAACCCGGAAUGUCCAUUAAGACCCCGAAACGAGGCAUGCUGGCCGACACCUAGAAGGUGACGAAGUCACAAAGUGUGAUAAUGUAUAAAAUGUGAAUAAAUUAAAAUCUAAAAAUUUCUAAGUACACAAGUGCGCGGUGAGCGGGUCUGGACCUAUUUCACGCAUGAUACAGAGCAUAAGUAAAGUACAGUAAGGUAAGAUAAUGACUAUACCACCAAAAGAAGCCACCUACACUGGGAAGUGCCACGAAUCCUCGUCGAUACGGAACUUUGCUGCUAGAACCUGGAGGGGUACAAAAACAGAAAAUGUGAGUGAGUGAAACAAAACUCUUCAAACCAAUUCCAACUACCAAAGAUAGUAGCCCCUUGCCGCAAUACCUGUUUAAUUUCCCAAAAAAUAACAGGCGUGAUUAUAAAUCAAAACCAUAACCAAAAUGAUAGUCUUACGGUUAUGCUACAUCAAAUAUCUUAACAGGAAUGAGUAACUCAGGUGAAAUAAACCAAUAGGAAAUGACAUGUUAGCCGGAUUCACCCAUAAUGUACGAUUGAAUCAAUAUUUCAUCCCAUAUAUGCUAGCAUCUCAUCACAAAUCUCAUCAUAAAUAUAUACUAGCAUCUCAUCAUAUAUCAUCACAUAUAUGCUAGCAUCUCAUCACAUAUCUCAUCAUAAAUAUAUGCUAGCAUUUCAUACAUAUAUGCUAGCAUUUCAUCACAUACCUCAUCAUGAAUAUAUGCUAGCAUUUCAUCAUAUAUCAUCAUAUAUAUAUGCUAGCAUCUCAUUACAUAUAGGCUAGCAUCUCAUUACAUAAUUCAUCACAUAUAGGCUAGCAUCUCAUUACAUAUCUCAUUAUAAAUAUAUGCUAGCAUCUCAUCAUAUAUCGUCACAUAUAUGCUAGCAUCUCAUCAUAUAUCUCAUCAUAAAUACAUGCUAGCAUUUCAUCACAUAUCUUAUCAUAAAUAUAUGCUAGCAUUUCAUCACAUAUCUCAUCACUCAAUCUAGCCAGAGUCACCUAUAGUAACCUAUAUGGCAUAUUCAUAUCUCAUCAAUCAAUCUAGCCGGAGUCACCUAUAGUAACCUAUAUGGCAUUACGCCUGCACACGAGUCGGAACCACUGUAGUGGUUUGUACGACAGGACUGGGUGUAAAUGAAUACGCUCAAGUGCUACGAUCACGUGAAGAGUCACCUACGAGUUGGAACCACCUAUAGUGGUCUGUAUGACAGGCCUGUGCACCUA
Molecule: long non-coding RNA, 1580 nt
Filed under: Malus domestica (apple)
Lineage: Eukaryota; Viridiplantae; Streptophyta; Magnoliopsida; Rosales; Rosaceae
Description: long non-coding RNA (MDOM_LNC006723)
Source: RNAcentral